Molecule: ribosomal RNA, 506 nt
Filed under: uncultured bacterium
Lineage: Bacteria
Description: bacterial SSU rRNA
Rfam family: Bacterial small subunit ribosomal RNA
Source: RNAcentral
CCUGGCUUAGGAUGAACGCUAGCGACAGGCCUAACACAUGCAAGUCAGGGGCAGCACAAGGAGCAAUCUGAGGUGGCGACCGGCGCACGGGUGAGUAACACGUAUGCAACCUGCCUGUAAGCGGGGAAUAACCCGUUGAAAGACGGACUAAUACCGCAUAAUACUAAAUUACUGCAUGGUAAUUUAUUUAAACAUUUAUGGCUUACAGAUGGGCAUGCGCAUGAUUAGCUAGUUGGAGAGGUAACGGCUCCCCAAGGCAACGAUCAUUAGGGGUUCUGAGAGGAAGGUCCCCCCACACCGGUACUGAGACACGGACCAGACUCCUACGGGAGGCAGCAGUGAGGAAUAUUGGUCAAUGGACGAGAGUCUGAACCAGCCAAGUCGCGUGCAGGAAGAAUGUCCCUAUGGAUUGUAAACUGCUUUUGCAGGGGAAUAAAGUGCAUCACGUGUGAUGUUUUGUAUGUACUCUGCGAAUAAGGAUCGGCUAACUCCGUGCCAGCCGCUGC